This 415-nucleotide ribosomal RNA is filed under the name uncultured prokaryote. RNAcentral's name for it is "bacterial SSU rRNA". It matches the Rfam family "Bacterial small subunit ribosomal RNA", at positions 505 to 918 of the family's 1533-position model. The record is from RNAcentral.
AUGUCAGCCGCCGCGGUAAUACGAAUGGGGCAAGCGUUGUUCGGAUUUACUGGGCGUAAAGCGGGCGUAGGCGGCCGGCUAAGUCGGAUGUGAAAUCCCGGGGCUCAACUCCGGAACUGCAUUCGAUACCGGUCGGCUAGAGUUCGCGAGGGGGAUGCGGAAUUCCGCGUGUAGCAGUGAAAUGCGUAGAUAUGCGGAGGAACACCUGAGGCGAAGGAGGCAUCCUGGAUCGACACUGACGCUGAGGCCCGAAAGCGUUGUGAGCAAACAGGAUUAGAUACCCUGGUAGUCCACGCCCUAAACGAUGUCUACUAGCCGUUGCGGGUAUCGACCCCUGCAGUGGCGCAGCUAACGCGAUAAGUAGACCGCCUGGGGAGUACGGCCGCAAGGUUAAAACUUAAAGGAAUUGGCGGGG